This 484-nucleotide ribosomal RNA is filed under the name uncultured bacterium. RNAcentral's name for it is "partial 16S ribosomal RNA". It matches the Rfam family "Bacterial small subunit ribosomal RNA", at positions 28 to 523 of the family's 1533-position model. The record is from RNAcentral.
GACGAACGCUGGCGGCGUGCUUAACACAUGCAAGUCGAACGAUGAACCCGGAGCUUGCUCCGGCGGAUUAGUGGCGAACGGGUGAGUAACACGUGAGUAACCUGCCCUUGACUUUGGGAUAACUGCCAGAAAUGGUAGCUAAUACCGGAUAUGACCCUCGGUGGCCUCACCCGGGGGUGGAAAGACUUUCGGUCACGGAUGGACUCGCGGCCUAUCACCUAGUUGGGGAGUUAACGGCUCACCAAGGCGACAACGGGUAGCCGGCCUGAGAGGGUGACCGGCCACACAGGGACUGAGACACGGCCCAGACUCCUACGGGAGGCAGCAGUGGGGAAUAUUGCACAAUGGGCGCAAGCCUGAUGCAGCAACGCCGCGUGAGGGAUGACGGCCUUCGGGUUGUAAACCUCUUUUAGUAGGGAAGAAGCGAAAGUGACGGUACCUGCAGAAAAAGCACCGGCUAACUACGUGCCAGCAGCCGCGGUAA